This 531-nucleotide ribosomal RNA is filed under the name Clostridium perfringens. Its description in RNAcentral is "partial 23S ribosomal RNA". It matches the Rfam family "Bacterial large subunit ribosomal RNA", at positions 1600 to 2144 of the family's 2925-position model. The record is from RNAcentral. Lineage: Bacteria; Bacillati; Bacillota; Clostridia; Eubacteriales; Clostridiaceae.
CCACGCUGCCAAGAAAAGCGUCUAGAGAGAGAAGUAGUGCCCGUACCGCAAACCGACACAGGUAGGUGAGGAGAGAAUCCUAAGGCCGGCGGAAGAAUUACAGUUAAGGAACUCGGCAAAUUGACCCCGUAAGUUCGCGAGAAGGGGUGCCUACGAGAGUAGGCCGCAGAGAAUAGGCCCAAGCAACUGUUUAGCAAAAACACAGGUCUCUGCUAAAGCGUAAGCUGAUGUAUAGGGGCUGACGCCUGCCCGGUGCUGGAAGGUUAAGGGGAACACUUAGCGCAAGCGAAGGUGUGAACUUAAGCCCCAGUAAACGGCGGCCGUAACUAUAACGGUCCUAAGGUAGCGAAAUUCCUUGUCAGGUAAGUUCUGACCCGCACGAAUGGCGUAAUGACUUGGGCACUGUCUCAACUGUAAAUCCGGCGAAGUUGUAGUGCGAGUGAAGAUGCUCGCUACCCGCGAUUGGACGGAAAGACCCCGUAGAGCUUUACUGUAGCUUAGCAUUGAGUUUUGGUAUUGUCUGUACAGGAU